UAGUCAGGUAGGAUAAUCCUACCUGUUCCACCUUUUGAAAGGCAGAUUAUAACAUGAUUGGAGUUUGCAUGACUUGUGAUUAGCCUUUCUGCUUCAGCAGGACUUGCAAUACUGAUUGCUCCUAUCUGAU
This is a small nucleolar RNA of Pteronotus mesoamericanus, 130 nucleotides long. RefSeq annotates it as U8 small nucleolar RNA. Lineage: Eukaryota; Metazoa; Chordata; Mammalia; Chiroptera; Mormoopidae. The transcript has a single exon. The record is from RefSeq and is a predicted model, not a curated record.